Molecule: ribosomal RNA, 253 nt
Filed under: uncultured bacterium
Lineage: Bacteria
Description: partial 16S ribosomal RNA
Rfam family: Bacterial small subunit ribosomal RNA
Source: RNAcentral
UACGGAGGGUGCGAGCGUUAUCCGGAAUUACUGGGUUUAAAGGGUGCGUAGGCGGCUUGGUAAGUCAGGAGUGAAAGUUUGCGGCUCAACCGUAAAAUUGCUUUUGAUACUGCCAGGCUGGAAUCAGGAUGAGGUCAGCGGAAUGUGGCAUGUAGCGGUGAAAUGCAUAGAUAUGCCAUAGAACACCAAUUGCGAAGGCAGCUGGCUAGACCUGUAUUGACGCUGAGGCACGAAAGCGUGGGGAGCGAACAUG